UCCCUUCUCUCCCCUUAUCUCUGGAACCCCACUGAUGCGCAAGCAAGAGCCACCGCCAAGGCUUGUGCAAGCUCACGCCAUAUCCAGCAACAACCAUGCUUUCUCUGCAAGCACAAAUCCAGCCAUGGUGUGUUUGACGGCAAUUAGCUGACGGCGGUGAGAAGUUGCAGCAGCGGCGAGCGUUCUCGCGCGACUCUCUCGUAUGGGGGGUAGCAGCAAUGGGGCGGCUGCAAAAGCAAGGCUGGUCGCCGGCGGGAGCGCCAGCCACGCGGGGUUGCUCGCCGGAAGCAUCCGAUGCAAGGCCGCUCACCGGAAGCAUCUGAUGCUAUUGACGGCGACCGGCAGGCGGGGUGACGGCGGAUGCUGGUGUUGCGAGGAUGACGAAUACCCUAGCCAGGUCGUUUGCAUCAGCUUUUCAUCUCAAAGAUGUAUCUCCUGUUGAUCCAUGUACGCUCGAGGCUUCUUACGAAUUUUAAUUCAAUGACGUAUAUAAAUUGGUAUGAUGGGACAUAACAAAGUGAAGUGGUACUUUUGAUAGCAGUUCAAAUCAGUUUUCUGUACACAAUAAUGGGCUAGCUCUGUUCGAUGCCAUCGAGGACCUAACAGAAGUAGGGAGUACGAUCAGCGGAAGUUUUUGCCUCCUCUCUUGAUUGACUAGGCCGGCUCCCAUCAUGUCUCAGCUGGAUUCCACGGGCUGUGGCCCAGGUGGGCGACGGGUGACCCAACGCCUACCAAAGAGAAAAGAAGGGGAAAACGGACGGACGAACCAAGCGAUUUUUUAGUGAGGUGUAUAUAUCUAAAUUCAAAGUGAAAGUGUAAAUUCACGGGAAGAAGUGUAUUGUGAAGAUGAAUUCACGGAGUCAAUCCGUGCUUUAUUAUUAGGGAAAGAUAUUAUUAUUAUUAUUAUUAUUAUUAUUAUUAUUAUUAUUAUUAUUAUUAUAAAUAUAAAUAUAUAUAUUAUAUAUAUAAUAUAUAUUAUAUUAUAU
This 986-nucleotide long non-coding RNA is filed under the name Triticum aestivum (bread wheat). RNAcentral describes it as "long non-coding RNA (TAES_LNC020441)". The record is from RNAcentral. Lineage: Eukaryota; Viridiplantae; Streptophyta; Magnoliopsida; Poales; Poaceae.